This 453-nucleotide ribosomal RNA is filed under the name uncultured Porphyromonadaceae bacterium. RNAcentral's name for it is "partial 16S ribosomal RNA". It matches the Rfam family "Bacterial small subunit ribosomal RNA", at positions 341 to 792 of the family's 1533-position model. Lineage: Bacteria; Pseudomonadati; Bacteroidota; Bacteroidia; Bacteroidales; Porphyromonadaceae. The record is from RNAcentral.
ACGGGAGGCAGCAGUGAGGAAUAUUGGUCAAUGGGCGGAAGCCUGAACCAGCCAAGUCGCGUGAAGGAUGAAGGUAUUAUGUAUUGUAAACUUCUUUAGACGCAGAGAAAUAAGCUCCACGCGUGGAGUGAUGCUAGUAUGCGUAGAAUAAGGAUCGGCUAACUCCGUGCCAGCAGCCGCGGUAAUACGGAGGAUCCGAGCGUUAUCCGGAUUUAUUGGGUUUAAAGGGUGCGCAGGCGGUCUUUUAAGUCAGUGGUUAAAUCGUGAGGCUCAACCUCAUCACGCCAUUGAUACUGGAGGACUUGAUUGCGGUUGAGGUAGGCGGAAUUCGUCGUGUAGCGGUGAAAUGCAUAGAUAUGACGAAGAACACCGAUUGCGUAGGCAGCUUACCAAGCCGUAAAUGACGCUCAUGCACGAAAGUGCGGGGAUCGAACAGGAUUAGAUACCCUGGUA